AACCCACUGAGCCACCCGGGCACCCCCAUGGAAAUACAUUCUUAAACUCCGAAGAAGCUCUUGCGUAACUGCAGCCCUGGCCAACAUCUUGCCUGCAGUCUACUGAGCGAGCCCAAGCCAGAACCACCCACCUCCGCUGCUGCCAAAUUUCUGACCCACUGAAAUUAUGAGACCAUGAAUGUUGGCUGACUGGAGCCUGGAUAUUGUCCACUUGGAUUGCCUCUGUGUCAAAGAAGGAAGUGAAGAAAAGCAGAUAUAUCAGAGGGUCUGUUGACUAAAGUGUGGCAACCCUGUUUUUGAAGAACAGCCUAAAGAAAAUUAUUAGUUUUGAAGAACUUAAAAUGAACUAACUCUAUUAGAAAGGAAAGAUAUACAUUAAAUGUGUAAAAAAGGUUCCUGGAUCCAAUUCCACCAACAAAGCAGCCAAGUAGAUUGGACCAAGAAACUUCGGAAGAAUGCAAAGAUGAAGAAAAUAAUGUGGCCCUUGGAGGAGUUUGUAAUGAAGUCAGACCAGAGGAAGCAAAGUCAAAACAAGAUCGAAAUAAAAACAGAAUCCUUCAAACCAGGCACUUAGUUGACUUAAAUCUCAAA
This 591-nucleotide long non-coding RNA is filed under the name Mustela putorius furo (domestic ferret). RNAcentral describes it as "lncRNA (ENSMPUG00000031810.1)". Lineage: Eukaryota; Metazoa; Chordata; Mammalia; Carnivora; Mustelidae. The record is from RNAcentral.